CUGUGGACAAUUAUUUGCACCUGAAGCAGAAACCUACUAGAUGAUCUGAGAAAAUCUGAGAAUGAUCUGAGAAAAUCUUCAUAAUUUCAAAGCAUUGCAUUUUUUUGUGCCACAUUCUGCAAAACUGUGGAAGAUCUGUGGAAGAUGUAUUGUCAUAGUGUAGUAAUUAGCCUGAAGAAAAUCUCCGGAGUCUGGUUAACUACAUAUGGAGGCCUCUCUUUUUUGGUUAUAUCAUGCUUCUGCCAUGCAAAUGGUUCACUCAUGUAACAACAUUUCAUUGGAAGAAGAGAGCUGAUCAACAGAGCUGAUGCCGUUUCUGAUUGUCAUUCAUUAAAGUCUCAAAAUCAAAAAAUCAGUUAUUUUGUUUGAAAAGUAAAGACAUUUUAGUAAAGACUAGACACUAUGACAAAGCACUGUGUUCCAAGAAACAUGAAUAAUUUUGGUGUCUGUGUAUUGUACUGAUUAAUGGGUGAACUAAAAAAAAAUAUUUAAAAAAAAAUCACUAGCAAUGAAGCGUAUAGUUUUGAAGUGUAUAGUUUUUACAUUAUGACAGUCCUCAAAAAACAGCUGAGGACACAGCUGACGUAUGCUGCAAACUGUUGACUUGCUCUUCCAGCAAGCUGUUUUGAAAACUUGGCUUCAGACUGGUGGUUCAUUUGAAAAGUCUUGAACCAUGUCUCAGAAUUUAUGUUCUCCUUUCCCAUCACGUUUACCACUGGUGUUACUCCUCUUGACUCAACAAGCUAGGUAAUGUUGCAGAUGUGAAUAUUAUUCCAGAGGAAAAGGGGAACAGAUGGUGGGUUUACAUCAUCCUUUUCAUUAACAGAAAAUGUACAAAGUCUUGUUUCUUCAGAUAUAGGAUUAUCAAAACAUGAAGCAUAGUCCUUUGGCUUACAGUUCCAUCUGCCCUCAGCUUUGAAUAUAUGUUAUUAAACUAUAUUUCAGUGCUGUUCUCUGAGUGCUUUUUCAGGCUAUAAGUUGUGAUUGUUUCAGUUUCUCUAUUCUUUCCUGCUUUGAACAGCCAAAACUCAAAAAAAAAAAAAACACCAAACCAAAACAAACAAACAAAAAAACACACUGUUGCAUUAUUGCAUUCAUUGCUUAGCCUGCUUUGGUGUUUUGGGGAGGAAAUUAUGCUUGGGAUUGAGUAAAAGAAUGUUAUAAUUUCUAGAAAUAAAUUCUACAACAAAACUGGAAAUUAAACUUUC
This 1208-nucleotide long non-coding RNA is filed under the name Anas platyrhynchos platyrhynchos (common mallard). Its description in RNAcentral is "lncRNA (ENSAPLG00000020885.1)". Lineage: Eukaryota; Metazoa; Chordata; Aves; Anseriformes; Anatidae. The record is from RNAcentral.